Molecule: long non-coding RNA, 2395 nt
Filed under: Homo sapiens (human)
Lineage: Eukaryota; Metazoa; Chordata; Mammalia; Primates; Hominidae
Description: non-protein coding lnc-DEPDC4-2:12
Source: RNAcentral
AUAUCGGAGGAAACCUGACAGAGCAAAUUGGCCAUGGCCAAGAAAAAGAAACAACAGAACCAAGAAAUGGUGGAUCAGUUGGAAGAAGAAAAGAAAGAGUGCCACCAAAAGCAGGGAGCCCUAAGGGAGCAGUUACAGGUUCACAUUCAGAAUGUAGAAAUCCUUGUAUCAGAGAAAGCUGAGUUACAGCCUGGCUUACACUCAGCAUGCUGCCAGGCAGAAAGAAGGAGUCUGAGGAUCUGGCCAGCCGCCUUUAGUAUUCCAGGCAGUGUGUGGGAGAGUUGGAGCAGGCUCUCUGCUGUCUCCACACAGCAGAAGAAAGCAGACAGGUACAACAAGGAGUUAACCAAAGAGAGAGACGCCCUCAGGCUGGAGUUAUACAAGAACAGCAAUGAGGACCUGAAGCAGGAGAAAUCAGAAUUGGAAGAGAAGCUUCAAGUCCUGGUGACUGAGAAGGCUGGCAUGCAGCUUAUUUUAGAAGAGCCGCAAAAGAAAUUACAAAUGAUGGCACUCCUGCUUCAACAGUUUUCAAGGCACUGUGAAGCCCCUGAUGCGAAACAGCAGUUACCGCAGGCCAUGGAGGAGCGGGCACAGCUGAAAGCACAUCUAGGGCAGGUAAUGGAGUCAGUUAGAUAACUACAAACGGAGAGAGAUACGUAUGCUGAAAAUCUGAAAGGAGGGAGGGCCAUGUGGUGUCAGAGGAAGCAACAGAUGUCGGAGCAGUGUGCACAUUGAGAGAGGAGAAGGAGGAUAGCAUGAGUUGGGUAUAAGAACAGUAGAUGAGCUUGGCUGAAGUGAGUAACCAGAUGGCUGAACCCCUGCCCCUGGAACUCCCAGCAGGGCCCUCCAAGGUGGAGCAGCAGCUACAAGCAGAGGCUGACCACCUGCAGAAGGAGCUGGAGAGUCUGGCAGCUCCGAGCCCAGGAGCAAGACACUGAGGGCUUCAGUCACCCGAACCAGGAGUAGGAGGAGAGGCUGCUGGAGCUGGAGCAGGUGGCCGAGCUCUUGCGGGAGCAGGCAGAGUCACGCAGGCAAAUCCUGGAGACCAUGCAGAACAAAUGCACCACCAUCAGCCACGUGCUCACCCAGAACCACAAGCUCAAAGAGCAGCUGUCUCCGCUGCAGAACGGAUUCAUAAAGCUGACUAAUGAGAACAUGGAGAUCACCAGUGCACUGCAGUUGGAAUAGCACGUAAAGAGGGAGCUGGGAAAGAAGCUGGGCAAGCUAAAGGACAUGGUGGAGCUGAAGAGCCAGGAGGCUCAGAGUCUGCAGCAGCAGCAGGACCAGUACCUGGGUCAUCUGCAGCAGUAUGUGGCCACCUAUCAGCAGCAGGUGGUCACCUAUCAGCAGCUGACCUCUGAGGAGGAGGAGCUGCACAACCAGUUACUGCUGCAGACCCAGCUCGUGGACCGGCUGCAGCAGCAGAAAGCUCAAAGCAAAGCUGUGGCCAAGAUGGGCUGCCAAGAGUUGCGGGAGACCCAGGAGCACCUGGAAGCUAUCAGCCAGCAGAACCAGCAGCCUCAGGCCCAGUUGAGCCUCAUGGCUCUCCCUGGGGAAGGAGAUGGACAGUGAGGAGGAGGAGGAGGUGCCUCAGCCCAUGCCAAGCAUCCCGGAGGAUCUAGAGAGCCAGAAGGCCAUGGUGGCAUUUUUCAACUCAGCUGUAGCUAGUGCCGAGGAGGAGCAGGCACGGCUAUGUGGGCAGCUGAAGGAGUGCACUGCCAGCGCCUGGCUCAUCUGUUGGCCUCGGCCCAGAAGGAACCUGAGGCAGCAGCCCCAGCCCCAAGAACUGGGGGUGAUCCCAUGUGUGGGGAGACCCACCAGGCCCUGCAGGGGGCCAUGGAGAAGCUGUGGAGCCGCUUUAUGGAGCUCAUGCAGGAGAGAAGGUGGACUUGAAGGAGAGGGUUGAGGAACUGGAACAUUGCUGCAUCUAGCUGUCUGGAGAGAGACAGAGAGUACAUCGCACUGUACCAGAGCCAGAGGGCAGUGCGGAAGGAGGAGGAGUGCAUCAGCAGGCUGGCCCAGGACAAGGGAGAGGUGAAGGUGAAGCUGCUGGAGCUGGCGUGGCUUGUGGACGACUGCAACAAGUGGCAUAGCAGAUUCCUGGCAGCUGCCCAGAACCCUGCUGAUGAGCCCACUCCAGGGGCCCCCGCCCCCCAGUAGCUUGGGGCUACUGACAAGCCAGGAUCUUUGUGAGGUGAGCCUUGCCAGCAGUGGGGAGUCUGCACAAGGAGAGGCGGGGAAGCAUUCUCCCUGUGACAACCCCACUGAGCAGCAGAUCAUGCAACUGCUUCAUGAGAUGCAGAACCUCCAGGAGCACCCAGGCUUGGGCAGCAGCCCUUGCAUUCCUUUUUUGUACCAGACUGAUGAGAACAAUGAGGUGAAGAUCACCAUCAUC